Homo sapiens (human) is the source of this 1594-nucleotide long non-coding RNA. The record is from Ensembl. Lineage: Eukaryota; Metazoa; Chordata; Mammalia; Primates; Hominidae.
UACAUGUGGAGUUCUCUAAACUGGUUCAGACAGCUGGACCCCAUUUUGUGUUUGUUUUUUCAAACAGAUUCUUCGUGCUCUAAACCAAAUCCAGCUGACCUCCUGAAGAGCGCUGAUCCUGCACUAUACAUGUGGUUCUUCUCCUAUGCCUCCCGACUUGUCAGAGAAUUUCUUGAGGACAUGGAUGACUGUCUGGCAGCGACAGUUCCAGUCCAGGGACAUCCCUGUGUGGUUUCUGAGAAGGAUGAGGAGUUCAAGAAGUGAAGGCUCUGUCAUACAUAAAGAGAAAACAAUUUCACUGUGCAAUCCAGGAGAGACAAAGCAGUGUAGCAUGUGGCUUCAGGAUUCUGGCCAGCAGAGAUUUCCAUCUCUCUGCCAGGCAACCUAAGUACUUCAGGGGACUGUGAACCCAGCUCCAGGGCCAGGGUGGAAUGAUUGGGCUAAGGAUAAUUCCUUAUCCCAGGGAACUCAGGUCAAAACCAACCAGGGUGUGGCAUAUUCCUGCAGUAGAAUCUGGAAUGGGCUUGUGACCCAGCUCAGGCCAGUGAAACAUGAAGGAAGGCUUGGCGGAGAAUUCUGAAGAAGGAGCUUCUCAGCUUUUAAGAGAAGCUCACCAUAGGAAACUCCCUCUCUCCCUCUGGACUUGUUGGUUUAAAGACGCAAAACCUGGAGCUGCUACAGACAUUUUUCACCACUGCAAGUGAAGACUUCUGCCCCAUAGACAGCGACUGGAAGCUGGAUCAGGCCAACCCUGAAGAUCACUCUGUCUCUGGAUGUCGGUUACACAAAUCAAUACAUUUCCAUGUGUUAAAGCAAUUCGACUUGGAUUUUACAUAUAUUUUUGAAACUGAAAACAUUGUAAUCUAUAUAUCUACUUAGAAAGAUGUGAAAUAUCCACCUAAUAAUAAUCAUUUGGGGUUACUAAUAAAAAUUAUUUUUACUUUUCUUCAUUGCUUACUUUAUAAUGAGCUGUUUCAUUUUUUAAAACACAAAAAGUUAUUAUUCUUGCAUAUUAAAUUGUUAAACAUAAAAGUAAUAUGUACUCAUUGGAAAAAAAUCCAGACACCUUCUCUUCCAGGUGACCUAAAUAGAAUUAGGGAGAGAGAAAAAUAAUGAUCUCUGAUCAGAAAAUAUAAUAAAAAUGAUUUUAGAAAGAGUCAACAUAUUUACUCUGCUUAGAAGUUUACACAUAUAAUCUCAUUUAAUUUUCACAACAUAUUAUGCAGUAGGAAGCAUCAUUAGCUCCAUUUUAUAGACAAAAAAAAUCUCUUGCAUUCUGCAAUUGUCUAAAAUUACUUUGAAAAGAGACAGUUUUUAAUAGCAUAGUUAAAGAUAAAAGAUUUAUAACAUACACAUGAUAGAGAAAAUUAAUAUAGUCAUGCAUUACUUCAUGAUGGAAAUAUGUUCUGAGAAAUGUGUUGUUAUAUGAUUUUGUUGCUGUGUAAACAUCACAGAGUGAACCCACACAUCCUCGAAGGUAUAGCCUAAUGCUCUUAGGUUACAAAGCUGUACAGCAUGUAACUCUACUGAAUACUGUGGUCAUUAUAACAAAUUGGUAUCUGUGUAUCUAAACAUUAAAAAGGUACACUACAAA